GGGGUAUUAGCUCAGUUGGUAGAGCGCUACACUGGCAGUGUAGAGGUCAGCAGUUCGAACCUGCUAUGCUCCACCA
RNAcentral lists this transfer RNA (76 nucleotides) under Candidatus Coproplasma stercoravium. Its description in RNAcentral is "tRNA-Ala". It matches the Rfam family "tRNA". From Rfam's summary of the family: Transfer RNA (tRNA) molecules are approximately 80 nucleotides in length. Lineage: Bacteria; Bacillati; Bacillota; Clostridia; Eubacteriales. The record is from RNAcentral.